RNAcentral lists this ribosomal RNA (319 nucleotides) under uncultured eukaryote. RNAcentral's name for it is "partial 18S ribosomal RNA". It matches the Rfam family "Eukaryotic small subunit ribosomal RNA", at positions 1470 to 1796 of the family's 1831-position model. The record is from RNAcentral.
CCCUUAGAUGUUCGGGGCUGCACACGCGCUACACUGGAGGAAACAGCGUGUAUUGACCUGGUCCGAAAGGACUGGGUAAACCUGUGAAACUUCUCCGUGCUUGGGAUAGCGGAUUGCAAUUGUUUCGCUUCAACGAGGAAUUCCUAGUAAGCGUAAGUCAUAAGCUUGCGCUGAUUAUGUCCCUGCCCUUUGUACACACCGCCCGUCGCUCCUACUGAUUGGGUGAUCCGGUGAGCUGUUCGGCCAUAGCAAUGUUUCUUGAGCAGGGCAAUGAAUGUUUCGCAAACCUUGCCACUUAGAGGAAGGAGAAGUCGUAACA